CCAGACUCCUACGGGAGGCAGCAGUGGGGGAUAUUGCACAAUGCGGGGAACCCUGAUGCAGCGACGCCGCGUGGGUGAAGGAGUAUUUCGGUAUGUAAAGCCCUAUCGGCAGGGAAGAAGCAAGACGGUACCUGACUAAGAAGCCCCGGCUAACUACGUGCCAGCAGCCGCGGUAAUACGUAGGGGGCGAGCGUUAUCCGGAUUCACUGGGUGUAAAGGGAGCGUAGACGGCCAUGCAAGCCAGGGGUGAAAGCCCGGGGCCCAACCCCGGGACUGCCCUUGGAACUGCAUGGCUGGAGUGCGGGAGGGGCAGGCGGAAUUCCUAGUGUAGCGGUGAAAUGCGUAGAUAUUAGGAGGAACACCAGUGGCGAAGGCGGCCUGCUGGACAGUAACUGACGUUGAGGCUCGAAAGCGUGGGGAGCAAACAGGAUUAGAUACCCUCGUA
RNAcentral lists this ribosomal RNA (445 nucleotides) under uncultured bacterium. RNAcentral's name for it is "bacterial SSU rRNA". It matches the Rfam family "Bacterial small subunit ribosomal RNA", at positions 331 to 792 of the family's 1533-position model. The record is from RNAcentral.